Molecule: unclassified non-coding RNA, 281 nt
Filed under: Hevea brasiliensis (rubber tree)
Lineage: Eukaryota; Viridiplantae; Streptophyta; Magnoliopsida; Malpighiales; Euphorbiaceae
Source: RNAcentral
GGCUAUUUCCCUGUCCUCGCCACUCCUCAUCCUCCGCCUGAGGAAGAUGAUGCUGAUGGUGAUGAUGACGUCCCUCCCGGAUUUGGUCCUUCAACUGCUCGGGAUGAAGACGAUCUUCCUGAAUUUAACUUCUCUGGUUCUGCAAACCCUCCCGGGUUUUCUUCGCAGAACAACCACCACCAUCCUACUCCUCAAGGGCAGCCAUCUAGGCCACCCUCAUUCCAACCAGUUUCCCAAACUGGGUCUCGUCCAGUAGAGCAAAUGCGAGAGCUCGUGCACAA